Molecule: ribosomal RNA, 421 nt
Filed under: uncultured eukaryote
Lineage: Eukaryota
Description: bacterial SSU rRNA
Rfam family: Eukaryotic small subunit ribosomal RNA
Source: RNAcentral
GUAACAUAGAGCUAAUACAUGCAAAUACUCUUGACCGUAAGGAAAAGAGGCACUUAUUAGAUUACAAACCAAUCCAUGUAAAAGUGGUAUUAGGUGAUUCAUAGUAAGGUUGGAAAUCGUAUGAGGGUAACCUUGACGAUAUAUCACUCAAAUUUCUGCCCUAUCAACUUUGGAUGGUAGUAUAGAGGACUACCAUGGUGAUAACGGGUAACGGAGAAUUAGGGUUCGAUUCCGGAGAGGGAGCCUGAGAAAUGGCUACCACUUCUAAGGAGGGUAGCAGGCGCGCAAAUUACCCCAAUCCUAAUACGGGGGAGGUUAGUGACAAUAAAUAACAAUGCUGGUAUUAAUAUACUAGUAAUUGGAAUGAGAACAAUUUAAACCCCUAUCGAGUAACCAUCAGAGGGCAAGUCUGGUGCCAGCA